AUACGUAGGGGGCGAGCGUUGUCCGGAAUGAUUGGGCGUAAAGGGAGCGUAGGCGGCGCGGUAAGUCUGGAGUGAAAGUCCUGCUUUCAAGGUGGGAAUUGCUUUGGAUACUGCCGCGCUUGAGUGCAGGAGAGGGUAUCGGAAUUCCCGGUGUAGCGGUGAAAUGCGUAGAGAUCGGGAGGAACACCAGUGGCGAAGGCGGGUAACUGGACUGCAACUGACGCUGAGGCGCGAAAGUGUGGGGAGCAAACAGGAUUAGAUACCCUGGUAGUCCACACUGUAAACGAUGAAUGCUAGGUGUAAGAGGUAUCGACCCCUUUUGUGCCGGAGUCAACACAAUAAGCAUUCCGCCUGGGGAGUACGGCCGCAAGGUUGAAACUCAAAUGAAUUGACGGGG
Molecule: ribosomal RNA, 397 nt
Filed under: uncultured bacterium
Lineage: Bacteria
Description: partial 16S ribosomal RNA
Rfam family: Bacterial small subunit ribosomal RNA
Source: RNAcentral